CGUGGGUAACCUGCCCAAGAGACUGGGAUAACACCUGGAAACAGAUGCUAAUACCGGAUAACAACACUAGACGCAUAUCUAGAGUUUAAAAGAUGGUUCUGCUAUCACUCUUGGAUGGACCUGCGGUGCAUUAGCUAGUUGGUAAGGUAACGGCUUACCAAGGCAAUGAUGCAUAGCCGAGUUGAGAGACUGAUCGGCCACAUUGGGACUGAGACACGGCCCAAACUCCUACGGGAGGCAGCAG
Molecule: ribosomal RNA, 244 nt
Filed under: uncultured bacterium
Lineage: Bacteria
Description: partial 16S ribosomal RNA
Rfam family: Bacterial small subunit ribosomal RNA
Source: RNAcentral